GCCAUGUUAAGAGUACCGGUGCUGUUAUAUAACAGUGAGACAGUUUUAGACACUAUCCCAAAAUCCUCUAGAUACUACUUAAUCCAUAGUUGCUGAGCACAAUAUGAAGCAGCUGCAACAUGCUCUGCUUCUAUAGUGAAAAGUGCCACUGAGUUUUGCUUCUUUGUACUCUAGACGACUUGAGAAGAUCCUAAAAAUGAGCCAUUAUAGAGGUAUUUUUCCUAUCAACUUGUACCUUGCAUAAGCUGCAUCAGCAUAAAUAAUUAGAUCAAAAGAAUCACCAAAUAGAUAGAUCGGGACCAGGUUCCCCAUUCAAUUCAGAUAUCUUUGAAUCCUCUUUACAGCUUUCAAGUUCAACUCCUUUGGACAUGAUUGAAAUCUUACACAUAUUCACACACCGAAGACAAUAUCAGGUUUGCUAGUAGUUAAGUACAAGAGGAAUCAAAUAAUUUCUCUAUACAUAGUCUCAUUCACCAUAGGAUCCGGCCCAUCAGGAUCUAGUUUUGAGCUAGUACUAAUGGGGGUGUCAAUAGGUUUGGCAUAAUUCAUUUGGAAUUUUUUAGAAGCUUCUUGAUAUACUUCUCUUGACUAAUCAUUAUACCACUGGGAGUUUGCUUGACCUACAACCCUAGAAAGAAGCUUAGCUCACCCAUCAUGCUUAUUUCAAACUCAUUUUCUAUUAGUUCAUCAAAAUUUUCACAUAGUGAGUUUGAGGUUGCUCCAAAGAUUAUGUCAUCCAUAAAAACUUGGAUAAUCAACAUAUUCUAUCCUUUUGACUUUAAGAAAAGGGUGUUGUCAAUUUUCCCCCUCUUAAACCAUUUUCAAGAAUAAAUUUUGAUAGCCUUUCACACUAUUUCCUAGGAGCUUGCUUUUGUACACCUACUUGGUCCUUAUAAUGGUUAUGUCAUCAGGUCUAAGGACCAGGUGCCAUACUUUAAUUCACUUAAAAUAAUGAAUUCUUCCAGGUUUAUUGACUAGGACCUGGUCUACACGUCGGAUUCCAGAGAAAAGGUAAGAUUAUCAGUAGAUGAGAUGAAUUGUGCUUCUAAUUUGGUCUUUUUAGGCUAAUUGUGGUUGACUGGUAGUAGGGACCUCAGUGACUUGGUUUUAAGAUUCAAGAAAUUGUGAAUCAAUAGUUUCUAAGGGAUCUUUUGAGGACACAGUACUUUUGCUUAUUUAGUUGCACCAACUUCAUCAUCUUGCUUAACUUAAUCUUUAUUGUUUUCUUCAUUAAGACUCUCUCUAAAUCUAAAGAAGUUCCUCAAUAUAUAUAUCAUCUUUAUCCUUCAUUUCCUUAUCAAUACCUGUCAAUGACAUAACAUGUAGUGUUGACAUCUUCAGCCUAGAAGUUCUUAAGUAGAUCCACAUCAAUCAAUAUCGUUCAGGAAAUAUCAACAAGAAUUCUAUUUUUCUUUCAACCAUAUCAUUUUGAUUAGGAGUUUUGAGAGUUGAGAAGUUAUGACUUAUUUAAUUUUAUGUGCAGAAAUCUUCUUACCUUGCAUUUUCAAAUUCUAUUCGAUGGUCCGACCUAGUCCCUACACUUUUUCUGUUCAACCUCACUUGUACUUGCUUGGCAAAAAUCAACAAUACUUCAAAAGUUUGAUCUUUGGACCUCAAGAACAUAGUCAAAGUGAACUUUCAAAAGUCAUCAACAAUAAUUAGUAUGUACUUUUUUACUCUUCUACUUUGAACCUUUACAGGAUCAUAUAGAUACACAUGAAGUAUAUCAAGAGGCCUAGUGGUACUGACUUACUUCUUCGACUUGAAUGAACCUGGACUGAUUUUCUUUGGUUUAAGCAUUAUAAUUUUGUUAUCUGCAAACUUAAUCAUGGGAACCCCACAUACCUGGUCCAUGGAGACCAACUUGUUUAGAAGUAUAAAGCUAACACAAUUCAAUUUUUGAUAACAUAGAUCAUUUUGUUACUUUGAGCAUUAAGAUGGGUAAGAUCAUCACCAAGGACUAAGUUGAAAUUUGCAACAUACAUAUUCUUGAACCUUCUUGAUAGUAUACAUUCUUGAUUGCAUGAUUGAGAAAUUUUACAAUCUUUUCAGUGCGUAAGUUAUACCCUUCUUUCAAUUUCCAAAAGAGACAACUCCACCUUGAAUAGCCUUUUGUAAGAGGAAUUCUUCUAUUCUACCAGUCAUAUGCUUUGAACAUCCACUACCCAUAAACUAAUUAUAACAACUUUCCCUUACUUCCACCUACACAUAAAGAUUAUUUAUUAGUUUUGGGAACCCAUUUAAGCUUGAGUUCCAAAAAAAAAAAAGAUAGGGGUACAAUCAAGGCCUUCUUUUUCCAAACAGGCAACUUGGCUUUCUUGAGUUUUGAAAAAGGAAUAUGUCCCUUUCUUACUCGUAUCUUCUAUUUGACAUGCUUUGAAAGACUCUUCUUAAUUGCUAGCCUAGCGUGACAUUUAUUAUUGACAUGUCUAUUCUCCCACUAUGAGUACACAAUAGGUCGUUGACACUAACAUAUAUUCACUAUGGGGGUUGUAGCGAGGGUUCACCUUUUUUCACCUCAAUCAUUGGCCAAUGUCAAACCUUUGACUAGUUAGACAAGCUAGAAUUUGAGAUGAAGCAGUCCAUUUGAGGGAUUAAUUAAAAUCUUUCUUAAUAUGGACCAGGUCCUCUCUAACUCAACAUUUCUUUCAAGACAGAUCAACUUGAGAUUUGUUUAAUCUCUCUUCAAGCUCAAGUUGAAGGAUACUUCCUCAAUAUUUUUUGUAGAAGCAAACUCAAAAGGUUUUCUUAACAUCUCUUUCUCUUAGCAUUUUCAGAUGACAUUAUACCAAGCUUUUCUUCCAACUCAGAGAUUUGAAAGUUAGGGCAAUUUUUUUAUUUUCAAAAUCAUCUAGACUUACUUUCAAAAAAUAUUUCUCCUUUUUAAUAUCACAAAGAGAAUCAAUCAAGACAUUAGCUAAACUUUUUAGUUUCUUCAAGGAAUAGUCCUUGAGAUUUUGUUUAAUGUUAAGAAGGGUUACCUUUUUUAUCUUCAUCAACUUCUGAUUUAGCCAUAAGAGUAAAAAAUGAGUUGAAUGAAUUAUCAUCAUCCUCUACAGCCAUCAUAGACGCAUCUUCAGGGUGCUCAAACUCAUCAGAUUACUGGACAAGUCCCCUAAACAGCAAGAGCUUGCUUGAAGCUCUUGAAAACGUAGUCUGCAACAGCUUAUCUUGGGGAUUUUUUGGGACCUGGGCCCUUCUUUUGCCUUUGUCACCACCAUCUUUGUCAUACUCCUUGUACUUCACCUUAUAUCGAACAAUCUUUAAUGAAAUGGAUAGGUAUGCCACACUUGUGGCAAUAAUCAUUUCCAUUUGAGGACUUACUUGUAUUUUCUCUUCUCAGAAAUCCACCAUUCUUUCUUACCAUUUUUUGGAAUCCUUGUGUAAGAUAAUCCAUGUCUUCAUAUUCUUUACUAGAUUCUCCCAUAGCAACCUUGAGAACUAGAAUCUUUUCCUUUUUAGGCUCCCUUUUUACUUGAUCAUGCUGAUUCUUAAGUUCAUAAUUUUUCAAGUUCCCUAUCAACUAAUCCAUUAUAAGAAUCUUGAAGUCACGAUCUUCAGUGAAGCAUCAAAUUUACUUUCCCAAAACUCGAGAAGAAUUCUAAGUAUUUUUCACAUUUGUUUACUUGGUUUGAUCCCCUCUCCAAGACAAUAUAGUUCAUUAGUAAUAGAUAUGAACCUGAUAUGCAUCUCUUAGAUGGUUUCACCUUUCUUCAGUGUGAAGGUUUUGUAUUUAGUAGUGGGCAUGUAUACCUUGGACUCAUUGACUUGACUUGUACCCUCAUGGAUCUUAUUUAAGCACUCCUAAAUCUUUUUUGUUGAUUCAAACACAGAGAUUUUGUUAUACUCAUUAGGCCCUCUCCCACACACGAGCAAGUUCUUGGCUUUGUAGCGCUUUUUAAUUUUCUUUCAAUCAUUUUUUCAUAUGCCUUUUUGUGUCCUUGCGACUAUUUUUAUUACACCUUCUUUCUUGACUUCUUUAAUAGGAACAUGUUGUCCAUCAUAUAUAAUGUCCCACAACUCACUAUCUUCUGCCAUUAUGAUAUAUGAGUCUUUCACCAUUCACAAAAUUGUCUGUUAAAAUGAGGUGGUUAGUGGUUGACUAACUUUCUUCUAAUUUGAGUGCCAUCAAGAAGGAUAUUCUCUAGGUGUAAGACUUAGAGGAAGUACUUUCUCUGAUACCAGUUUUUGGCUUAUAUGAGUCCACCACGAGCCACGGGAUCAGGUCCCUUAAUAGAUUUCCAUAACAGAGGCUUAUAUGAGACCAGGUCCCUUAACAAUGAAAUACAACAACUUAGCAAGUAAUGAAGUUAGAUGUAGAAAGGUAAACAACACACAAUGUUUACAUGGAAACCUCCUUGCUCAAGGAAGGAAAAAUCAAGACCUACAAUACAACAACAAUAAGCCCAAUGUAUUCCCACAUAGUGGGGUCUGAGGAGGGUAAAAUAUAUGCAGUCCAUACCGCUACCUACGAAGAAGUAGAGAGGCUAUUUUCAAUAGACCCAGAGAGGCUAUUUUCGAUAGACCCCCAGCUCAAGAUAAAGUAUAGUAAACAUAGUCGUAAUGAAAUGUGAAACAGGAUGGGUGGCUUAACAGAGUAAAAAAUCAGAAAUAGUAAAAUAGAACUCAGAGAAAUACGGAAUAGGAGAACUAAGAGUCAUAAGCAAUAAGAAAUAAGACUUGUUUCUCAAAACAUUCCAAUACGGAAUAGAAAAACUAAGACCUGUUUCUCAUAAUUUUCCAGCUCUCUACUAACUCCAAGAAAUAACAUGAUUACAGACACGAGUAAUCACAAGGAUUAAACUCUUAAUUUUAACUCUUUGUAACAACUCUAUUACAAGACAGAUGCAAUAAUUCUACCAUGCCACCAUGUCAACUAACUCUAGCCAACACUCCUAGGUAACUCUACCCAAACUUGUGCAACAACUCUGCUACACACUUUAAAUCAGCUAACUCUAGUUGACACUCCUAGUUAACUCUAGCCAAGAGAAACACCAUGAAUAGUGAAAAUAAAAUUGACUAAAACACUAGAUGAUUCGACUAAUUAACCAUAGUUAAUGCAACUCAACCUAAAGACUUAGAAAAGUGAAAUAUCUACUAUCCUUUAUAACAUAGGAGUAGAUUUUUUAAAAACAAAAGACACAAGACUCAAAAAUGCAACAAAGACUAAAGCAACAACUCAAUCAAGUCUUUUUGUUGAAAUGGGCAAUGUUCUUCUUAUGAGAUGGUGUUUUCUUUGGAAGAUAAAUCUUUUGAGCUUUGCAAAAACUAGGUUUUGCUCUUGUAACUUUAACUUAUAUAAGAGAGAGAAAAACCUAGGCAUCAUCUCAUUGGUCCAAGUUGGACAGGACCACUAUGCCUCUACUGCAGUGUCCACUAACCAGCUAUAGAAAAGUAUACUUUACAGUUGUACAGAAUUAACUUCAAUAAUCACAGACUAGGUCCCAUAAAACCACAAACCAAGUCCCUUGAAACCAUAGACCAGGUCCAUAGUAGCAUGGACUAGGUCCUUUGCAGUAGUUGUUGGUCAUGUACAACAGAAAAGCUUCUUGUCCGUGGUUAUAUGGCUAAUAGAAGUCUCUCAUCCUUCCUCCAUGGAUGAGGAUUGCUAUUGGUAUAACAAAAGGAAUCUUUUCCUAUAUACAAAAGAAAACAUAAUACAUGGGAAUCUUACAUCAAGUAACAUACUUCUUGAUGAGAAAAACAACCCAAAGAUGGCAGAUGUGGGACUCUCCAGGCUUAUGACCACUAAUGGAAAUACCAACAUAAUUGCCACUACAGGCAUGCUAGCUUAUCACACACUAGAGUUUUCCAAAAUCAAUAACGCAAGCACUAAUAUGGAUGCCUAUAGUCUUGGAGUGAUCAUCUUGGAGCUCUUAAUUAGAAAUUCACCUAGUGAGGCAAUAGAUGGUCUCAAUUUUACAUAGUGGGUAGCUUUCAUUGUGAAAGAAGAGUGAACUAAUAAAGUGUUUGAUGUGGAACUUAUGAGGGAUGUACCUAAUAUUGGUGAUGUGUUGUUUAAUACAUUGAAAUUAGCUUUUCAUUGUGUUGAUCCCACACCAACUACUAAGCAUGAUGCUCUGUGAGUACUAUAGAAUUUAGAGGAGAUAAAGUCAGAGCUGAUAUUAACAGCUACCGGUUAUGGAGAAAAUAGCACAAUAGUUCAAGAAAUGAGUGUAUAAACUCUAUUUUUUCACAAUGUUGAUUGAAAUAAGUAUGGAAACUUUUGAGCUUUUUGUUUUAUAUCUAGUUGGUUAUUCUUUCAUUUUUUCUAGUUAGUGGAUUUAUUGAUUCAUGAUGUCGCUCAAAAGCACACCUCCUUAAAAGUAUCAAGCAGUCAAUGUCAAAAUAUAGUAACCCAACUAUGUUGGGAUCGAACCAACAGGAAAUAGGGAAGAACUAUCUCUCAAACUUGUUGAAACAGUUGGGCAGUGCAGAAAAAUAAAUGGGGGGAGUUGUUUAAUCAAUACAAAGUAACAAAACUCGAAUGCUUUUGGUUGUAAACAAUCUGAAAUUAAUACUAUAACUGUGUUCCCCUGCCUUUCUAACUCCGUAGGUUUAUCAUGCUCCAUUGAACAAUCUAAUAUCUUGCAUGCAAAAUUUGAUAAGUUAUGUAUCAUUAACCAUCUUUUGAAUACCUUUAGUGAAUUUUACUCUUUACCUUGUGAGUCUCAGAGUGUCUCCUUACUAACCCUUAUCCUAGAUCCCAAAUUAACUAUUACUUGUUCAGUCUCUAGUUAAUUAGAUGAGAGGGCAAUUAUAAGAUGGAAGUGAAUCUCAGAUUACUGUCUAAUCUUCUUUUCUUAAUCUCUACCCCUCUUUUGAAGUAAGUAGUGAAUACAGGUGGGUUCUUAAUGUUUGCAACUGCUAAGAAAUAUAUUAAAUUAAAGAUGAACACAAUACAUGCAAGAAUAUUGGUUAGGAACAAUGUUGUACUUCACCUACUUUGUUAUUUAGCCAGGGAUACCACAAUCCUACCUAAGAGAAUUAGUCGCUCAUAGUUGUGAAAUAAUCCAUAGAAUUCAUAAGUAAAAGUAUAGAAUCAAUCACAAUAAUAGACGAAGAAACCCGAAGUCUCAAAUCAAUAAAUCAACCAAAAACUACGAAGACAAGAAUCCAAAGAUCAAAAUCCAAUCUUGGAAUUAAAAUGUAUGUUUGUGAAUAGUAUGAAUGCGGAGACUAACUAAAAAACAUCAAAUGGGUAUUUAUAGAUUAUAUGAAAACCCUAGAAAACCCUUCUAAUACAAAAGAGGAAAAUUGGAGGCGAUGGCUACCUACGGAGCCACUUAUAGAUCGUAGGUGGCACCUACAGUCUGUAGGUGGCCCCACAUAGGUGCCAGACAUCCAAAACUCCUACAAGAACUCUCUUAACUUCAUCUUCUGAAAAUUCAUCUGGCACCUACGCCACAUACGUAGAACCUACAGGUAGUAGGUGCCCACAUAGGUGGUCCAAAACUCAAGUUUUCACUUCUUUUCUCCUGUUUAGCUCUCAAAACCUAGUUUUCCGCAAAACACAUCAUAUCUAAGAAAAUGACCUAAGUAACUGCAUAUUUUCAUAAAUUUAAGCAUUGAAAGUCUAUGAAACCAUAGCACAUCAAUUCAUAUUAAGAUCUAGUAUAUAAUAAACUAUAUAUAGUUUGUGAUUGUUGCACAGGUUAUACUAAUAAAGAAAAACAUUUUGUUCAAUUCACUUUAUUCAUUGUAAUGUAUAAAAUAAAUGCAUAUCUAUUUUUUAUGAGAUACAAGCGAUAGAUUGUUGUUGUGUUACAUGUGACUAUUCAUAUUAGUGAUUUCAGAAAUUCAGUCAAAGCUAGAACCCAGUUUAUAUCCUCUACUUACUUCACCAAAAGAAGAAUUCAGUUUAUAUCCUUUAUUAAAUAUUAUCCAGUCCAUAUUACAAUAUUCCCCUCUGUUUAAAAUAAAAUGAUCUAGUUUAACUUGACACGAAGUUUAAUAAAAUAAAGAAGACUUUUGAUUCUUGUGGUCUUGAAUUUAAGUUAUGUCAAAUGUAUCAAAUUGGCCUUUAGUCUUGUGGUCUUAAAUAUGCUAUGUGGAAAUUAGAAUUAAAGUAUUGCUAAAAAAGUAAAUGAUUAUUCUUUUUGAAACAUUUUAAAAUAAAAAAUAGGUCAUUCUUUUUGUGAUAGAGAGAGUAAGUCUUUUAGGGUAAGGAGGUUUUUGCACACUCCUUAAAAAAGUUAUACAAUAUUAUCUAAACUAACUUGUUGUUUUUCUAAAACAUGAAAUUAAUUUAAUAAAAGAAAUGCCAGAAACGUGUACGGGGUAAAUAGCUUGUAAAGAAACUUGGUCGAGUCAGGUCAAAUGUAACAUGGGUCUGCCUAUGAAGGGGCCUUCUUAGGAGCAAGUUCGACAGUAGGAAGGGCCACUCGAGUGGAAUCAUAAGUACCUGAGGGAAUUAACGAUAUAUACCUCAUAUGAAGGACUGACAAAGAGGACAAUGCGUUGGGCUUGGUGACUUUGGACUGAACAAUGUUAGAUACGUAGUAUUGGGAUAUCAUCCCCCAACGCCCUGAGAACAAAUGGCCAAAGGUCAUUGGACGUAGUACAAUGGGCUCAGGGAAUAACGCUAUCCUAUUAGUCGAAAGGCAACCUCUAUCCCGUGGUGUGAAUUCUGUGGGAUACAUGGCCACGACACUAGGGAUUGUUAUCACCUUUGAGAACCAGUCACCGAACUGCUCAAUGGUGGACACCCCAAAGAGUUCCUGAACAAGCGAGUCAAGGGCAACUAUGGAAAAGGCGCCAAAGGCAACUCGACACCCGCGGGAUCAGGAGCUCCAAGGAAGGCUUAAGCUAAUAUUAGGCCUCGACAAGACGGGUAUGCAUCCUCUCACAUUUCAUUUAUCUAAUGAUAUUUUUCUUUUGAGUUCUCUUAAAGGUAUCCCACGGUAAAGUUCAGACACGACAGCGGAUGACUCAAAAGAACAAAGCUACACUCUUUUUUCCUUCAACCAGUUUUUUUCCUAAAAAGGGUUUAUAUGGCAAGGUUUUUAAUGAGGUAGCAGUGAGGACUUCCAAAAAAUUAGAAAAUAUCAUUUGUUUUCUCUCGGUUAAAGACACUACCCAAUAACAACCAAAUAAAUAGAAAGGAAAGUUUGUGUAUUUGCAUGCUUGUUCCCAUCCUGAAUUUUUGAUUAGUGAUUAUCAGUCAAAUCAUUUUGUUUAAAAGAGAGCAAGGCUCCUCGAGGCCAAAAUACCAACCCUCUAUAAGCCACGAGGAGAAGACUUCAAGUGAUAUCUCUCGAUAUCCCAAAAAGAAAGCGAGGCUAUAACUUCAUGGCCUACACAAAGGGUUGCAAAAACAUAUAAGUCACUACAUCCCGAUACUAAAGACUAGGGACUGGCUUUCGUAUGCAGAGGAACUCGAAACAUGAACUCGCUCUAAAUCUUAAACAAAAUCCACAUCAUUCGAUAGUGACAAAGCUUGCGUCCGCUAUGUUGUAGGGACAAAAAAGGCCUGAACGAGAGGCACCAUUAAUGGUUAGUUCGAGUGAAAUUAUAUGAAAAAUGACUAAAAUAAAGAGACGUGAUCGCUCUUACACUAUGUGCUAAAGUACCUUGGAGAUGUCCCAACUUAGAUGCACAACAACUUAAAAAAUUAAAAGGGUCUUUUCUCACUUUGAUGAGGUUAAAUUAGGAUAAAACGCCUAAAAAUUUAAGACUCAUUGAAAAGGACACAGAGGCUUGCAAAAUAAAAAAAAAUAGUUCGCGAUUAACCUAUAAUAUCUAGAACAAACUUGAUAUUUGCAACAUAAAAUAUACAAAUCCUAGAGAGGAUUAGACCACCAAAGAGUCACCUCAAGAGGAAUAUUAAUUGCAAAAGAUAGAUUUAAAAAGUCAUUAAAAAUUAAACAAAUGUGCAAUACAAAUAAUUCUCUAAAGUCAAGUACAGAGUUAUUAUAGAAGGAAAAAUCAUGCAACAAAGACUUUCUAACAAGAAAAGAGUGUUAGAAACAACAAAAGAGGUGAGCCCGUUCUCCAAGGGCACAUACAAUGUCCUUCUUGCAUUUUGGGGAGUCGCCUGACUGAAUGUCAUCAUCAACAAACUCACAAACUUGGGCCAAAUGGCUUCGACUGACAAACUGGGAGCCCUUGGCUUCGAGUGCUUGGCGUUGGAUACUAAGGAGAGGCUUAACCGUCUUUUGUUCCAAAUAGUUUGAAAAAAGCAGAUUUGAGGAACUUUAACUGGGAGAUCCCGCUAGCAAAAGUCUGGAUAGUACUGAGGUAGACCCCACCUCACAAAUAAGCUUCUACAAAAUAGGCUCACACGACUCUUUCUUCCUGCCAUGAUCGGCUUCAUCUCGGACAACUGCCAUACCCAAUACUAUCAAUGCUGAAAAAAUAGAAACAAGCCCUCGCACUGGGGAAAGAGAGAAACCAUGCCUAUCGUAAUCUUCUAUUUUCCUGAGCCACACCCACAGUUUUCAAUUUACCCAUAUGAAAAAUUUAAGAGAAAUCAUAUGAGGACAAGCUCUGGGAUAAAAAACAAGGAUAAGGAAAAAAUUAUAGUGAAACCCAGGGCAAAGGCAAUAUAGUUGGGGGAAUCCAAGAAAAACACCAUGAAGGAAAAACAACUUAUUAUGAGUAGCUUUCACUAAAGGGAUAAAAGGCGUGGGAAAGAAUGUGGUGCUAGAAAUGGUAAUUUAUACAUAAAAAUCCAUUAAUAUGUAAGACGCUAAGAAGCAUGGAUUAUUCCCAUGUGUUUGGACCGAUCAUAUAUAACGGAAUCCAAAGGGAAAAUACUCGGCAAAUAAUGUAUCUGGUUGCACAUCAAUGCUUUUGAUGAUUCGUACCCUUCCUUUUUGACUCCAAAGGCAAAUAAGCCCAAAAAGCUAACGCAAUGCUUUGAGUAAGGGUUAUUAAGCACAGAGCUCGAUAAAAAUAUGCAAAUAAAUGGAUCAGUUUGGAAAAUUGACAUAUCUUCAUACUUACAUUGCCUUCGAGAGGGCUUGAAAUCAUUUGAGCGGAGUAAAUGGCAAAAUUUCCAGGAGUAGAAAGUCCCACAACACCACCUAAUGGCAGGGAGUUGAUAGGAUAAAUCGGCCAUAUUAGGAGCACUAAUAAGGUCCUCUCACAAGGAUGGAAAGUAUGGGUGUUACCGCCAACGACUCUAGGAAGACCCCGUCCCUUCAUAUCAAUUUACGGAGCCCCCUCAAAUAAAAAUGCCAAAGAGGUGAGGCCAUGAGGUGGUCACACUAUGUAAAUAAAAAUUCUAAUCUAACCUAAUUAUUUGAGUCCCAUUGUUAGCUCUAGGAUGGUCCUACCCAGUUAGAAGUUUACGCAAAAGGAGUGAAAAAACCAUAUUAAAAAAUGGCGACAAGAAAGUUGAGAAGACAAAAAAUGUUAUUAUUGUUUAAAAAAAAGAGGGAAGAAAUUACAUAGUACAAGGCUUUUA
Capsicum annuum is the source of this 11410-nucleotide long non-coding RNA. RefSeq lists it as uncharacterized. The transcript has 2 exons. Lineage: Eukaryota; Viridiplantae; Streptophyta; Magnoliopsida; Solanales; Solanaceae. The record is from RefSeq and is a predicted model, not a curated record.